RNAcentral lists this ribosomal RNA (253 nucleotides) under uncultured bacterium. Its description in RNAcentral is "partial 16S ribosomal RNA". It matches the Rfam family "Bacterial small subunit ribosomal RNA", at positions 524 to 776 of the family's 1533-position model. The record is from RNAcentral.
UACGUAGGAGGCGAGCGUUGUCCGGAGUUACUGGGCGUAAAGGGUGCGUAGGCGGUUGGGGAAGUCUGUCGUGAAAUCUCCGAGCCCAACUCGGAAACUGCGUCGGAUACUAUUCAACUCGAGGAAUGGAGGGGAGACUGGAAUUCUCGGUGUAGCAGUGAAAUGCGUAGAUAUGCGGAGGAACACCGAUGGCGAAGGCAAUCCCCUGGACCUGUACUGACGCUCAUGCACGAAAGCGUGGGGAGCAAACAGG